AACGAACGCUGGCGGCGUGGAUAAGACAUGCAAGUCGAACGGGAUUCCUUUCGGUAGCAAUACUGAGAGGGAUUUAGUGGCGAACGGGUGCGUAACACGUGGGGAAUCUGCCGAGAAGUGGGGGAUAGCUCGUCGAAAGGCGAAUUAAUACCGCAUAUGAUCAGGGAAGACAUCUUUCCAACAUCAAAGCCGGGGCAGCCUGGCGCUUCUUGAUGACCCCGCGGCCUANCAGCUAGUUGGUGAGGUAACGGCCCACCAAGGCUAUGACGGGUAGCUGGUCUGAGAGGACGACCAGUCACACUGGAACUGAGACACGGUCCAGACACCUACGGGUGGCAGCAGUCGAGAAUUUUUCUCAAUGGGGAAAACCCUGAAGGAGCGACGCCGCGUGGAGAUGAAGGCCUUUUGGGUCGUAAACUCCUGUCAUUUGAGAACAAGUGUAGCUAAGUAACUACUGGCUACUUGAUAGUAUCAGAAGA
This 479-nucleotide ribosomal RNA is filed under the name uncultured bacterium. RNAcentral describes it as "bacterial SSU rRNA". It matches the Rfam family "Bacterial small subunit ribosomal RNA", at positions 29 to 485 of the family's 1533-position model. The record is from RNAcentral.